Molecule: long non-coding RNA, 263 nt
Filed under: Nicotiana benthamiana
Lineage: Eukaryota; Viridiplantae; Streptophyta; Magnoliopsida; Solanales; Solanaceae
Description: long non-coding RNA (NBEN_LNC003537)
Source: RNAcentral
AGAAUGGUUUUAUUGAGCUUUUUUAUGAGCCACAAUGCUACAAAGUAAAGAUCGAUUGCCCAACUUAAACCGAUUCCAAACAACAUCGUGUCAUUAUGUAAACUAUUCACAUGCCAAUGCUGGAUUUCACCUACAAAUGUAUGCACAGUGUCUGAUGGAGUAAAACAACAGUCUAAAGAGAUAUCAAGACAGCACAAAUGCUAGAAAGUAAUUUUAGUGUAAUUUCUGCAUGAUUGUAGAAUAUUUUUAGAAUUAAAUCCUUA